GUCUGAAUUAUGGUCCAUGGGUCGUAAUUCUUACCAAAAUAUCAUAAAAAAUAUUCUACAACCAUUUCAACUCUACAAAGGAAUUAAAAAACUGAGCUCUGAUGCCCUGAUCCAGUGAUCUUCCAACCCUUGCUUGCUUGAGAUUUGCGAAGUUCUAGCUUCGCCCGGGCCUUUCACUUAUGGCCCGGCACUUCCAACCCAUGUGACAAAUUUUGAGGAGGUGGACAGUACUGAAGGAAAUGUAAACAAAGAACCGAGAUGUGGCCAUUGGAAGAUUAUGAAGGAAUGGAGAACUGAGUGGCAAUUCCAUGUAAGGAUUAUGUAUAAUUACAUAAUCCUUGUAUGAAAACAGAUUCAUUCAAUACUGAGUAUUAAAGGCCCAUCAUAGGAGUGCAAGACUGACUGGAGCCACUGGAGCUACAGCCUACGGUACCAUAAACAGAUCACAUAUCUUUCCAGAAACGUAUGAAAAGGAUGUGAUAGCUGUUUCAACUGUUUACAAAGGAUGUUUUGCAGCUUGAUUUUUUAAUUUCCAGCUAGUUUUAAUUGGCAACAGGUGUCAUUACAAACUAUUAUUUUCAGUAAAAAAAAAAAUUGACUAAAGCUUGCAUACUUUAUCAAAUUCUAAAAUAAACAUUGCCUGCGACACACUCUUCACACUGAAGUGCUCUUUACAAUGGUUGUGAUCAAUUUCAAAUCAAAACAAAUUUGAAAAUGGCGGGUGGUACCAUCCACUAGUGCAAAGCCAAAACAAAAUAUUGUUAUCAUAAUUUACAAUUUUACCUUUCAACAUAAGUACUUCAUACUUAGUACACACACUGACCACUGCAUAA
Molecule: long non-coding RNA, 833 nt
Organism: Penaeus monodon (black tiger shrimp)
Lineage: Eukaryota; Metazoa; Arthropoda; Malacostraca; Decapoda; Penaeidae
Exons: 3
Source: RefSeq, a predicted model, not a curated record